Molecule: long non-coding RNA, 4959 nt
Filed under: Sus scrofa (pig)
Lineage: Eukaryota; Metazoa; Chordata; Mammalia; Artiodactyla; Suidae
Description: lncRNA (ENSSSCG00000054973.1)
Source: RNAcentral
UGGGAUCCAAGAUGCAUCUGUGAUCUACACCACAGCUUAUGGCAAUGGUGGAUCCCUGACCCAAUAAGUGAGGCCAGAGAUCGAACCCACAUCCUCAUGGAUACCAGUCAGAUUCAUUUCUACUGUGUCACAAUGGGAACUCCAUACAAAAAUCCAUUUUAAAAUAUUGACCUUAUACCUAGGUACAUUGCCAAAUCUACUGAUUAUUUCUAAGUGUUUGUCUUUGAUCCUUAUGGUUUUCCACAUACACAAUCAUACAUACCAUCUAUAAGUAAUGAGAGCAUAUUUUGCAUAUGGGGAGAAAACCAUAUAUAUUUUCCUUUUUUUUUUCCUACUUUAGAGAAUCCCAUUAAAUGAUUUGUGAAGUGUGAAACAGUGUUCAUUCCUAGAAUAAAUGUGAUUUGGUCAUGAUAUAUUAUCCUCUUUAUGUAUCUUUAUUCUGCUUAUUAAUGGUUAAUUGAUGAUAUUUGUGACAGAUGCAUGCUGUUUUAUUUCUUUCCUUUAAUGUCUGUUUAAGAAUUUGGUAUCACAUUUAUGCUAUCCUCAUGAUUGUUCUUACUUUUUGUAUGCUCUGGAAAAUGUGCAAAUUUUUAAAAUUUAUCCUUUAUAUUUUAAUAGACUCCCUAUUGAAGGUACGUUAUCCUGAACUUUCCCUUUAGAGAAUGUUUGCAAUUAUGGAUUCAUUGCUUUAGCAGAUAUAUGAUCAUUUGUUUUCUAUUUCUUCAUGUGCCAGUUUUAUUAAAAUAUUUUUCAGUGAUUCACUUUUUAUAUUUACCAUUCACUUUUCCUUUUGCUUAUAAUUAGAUUUCCUAAGGAUUCAUCAAUUUUGAUAAUUUUUCAAAGAACAAAUUUGCCUUUAUUUCUCUGUCUUAUUUAAAUUGAUUCAUUCCUUUAUUUGCUGUUAUUUUUGCCUUCUUUUAAUUUUGUCUUAAAUUCCUUUUAUUUUUCUAGCUCACUGCGUUGGAAGCUUAGAUUAUUCAUUUUAAAAUUCUUUUUUUCUAAUAUAUGCAUUUAAAGCUAUUUAUUUUUAGCACUACUUCAGUUGCAGUCUACAAGUUUUGAUAUGUUGUAUUUUCUUUAUUGUUUACCUGUUCAGUAUUUUUAAUAUCAAUUUAUUUUUUCUUCAAAAUAUGGAUUGUAUAGAAACAUAUCACUCAAUUUUCAAACAUUUUCUAGAACAUUUUAUGUAAUUGAGAUCUAAUUAAAGUCAGCAGUGGUCAGAGAACAUAUCCUAUAUAAAUUUCAUUCUUUGAAAACUGUCAAAAUUUUGUUUAUAGUCAGUAUAUGAUUUGUUCUGGAAAAUAUCCCAUGUACAUUUGGAAAGAGGUCAUCUUUACUUUAGAUGUGUAUGAACUUUAGUAUUUUUUCAGCCUUGCGUAAUCUCUGAAAUCUCUGGUAGUUACUCUGGAAAUGUAGUGGCUUUGUUAAGCCUCUUACAGUUUUGUCAUAUAUAUAUAUAUGGGACCAACCAAGGAACUGCAAGAAUUUUUGUACAGAUUUAUGGGGUUGCUUUUCUAUAAAUCCCCCUUCUAUGCAUCUUCACCCCAGAGAGGGCCCAAAACAGCAAGGCCGCUCUUGACUUCCAGUCCCUGUUUUCUUCAUUCAGAAAGAUAGUUGUGAUUUGAAAUCUCUGUCUCACUCUUAUUUCCUCUUCCAUGAUUGCGUGAAAAAUGCUCUCCUGAAUAAAGCCUGGAUUAAUAUGGGGAAUCACUGACUUUGUUCCUCUUCUUCCUUUGCUUCACUGAUUGUAGACUUGCCAGUUGUCAUCCACAUUUUGUAAGCCAUUGUUUCUGUAUUAUGAUGACCUUUUACAAUUAAUAACAGUAAGAACUUAAGUAUAAAUCCAGUUACUCCAUAUUGGUCAUAAUUGGAAAGAUGUGCAAAUUUUAAGGUAGGAAUAUAAUAACACGCUUAUAUGCUGACAGGAAUGAUCCAAAGAGCCAUACAUAUUAAUGAUUUAGGAAAAAGAGAAAGUUUUCCAAUUCAAUAGCAAACUUUGAAUAAGUGAGAAAAUUUGAGAUGUUUUGUACAGGUAAAGUGGUUAGCCUUAGCUAUGAGAAAGGGAAGUUCAAAAAGAGUAAAUGGACUGAACAUAGAUAGAUGGGUGGUGGGAGAUUCAGUGAAAUAAGCAACAAUGUCAUCAGUUUAAUGUGAUGAUGGGAAAGGCAGUACUGAUAGUUGAUUUAAGUGGAUAAAUUACAAAAUAAUUAACUAAGAAAGUGGAAAUGUGAAUGCUUAAAUUCAAUACAGUCUAAUUUCCAGCAACAUAAGGACUUGUUUGAGGUUUUUGUCAAGAACCUAAGAUGAUAGCAAUUCACAUGUUUUCUCAUUUAUGUUCACCUGUGUAAGGACAUAUGAGGAGAGAUUAGAAUUUUAGGUUUAACUUGUUUUGUGAUCUAAGCCAGUAUUAGAAGCUAGAUUUGAUUUAAGAGCUUUAUGUGAGGGGUGACAAUGAUGUUUUUCCUUGUGGUGUAAGGUGGGCAAGGGGAAGUAAGAGUAUGGAGCAGGUCAUAGACAGUAAAAACCAAAAAGGAUCUAAGGAUUGAAGAAGAUCCAGAUUUAUUUUUAGGAUUGUUUGAAUUGGGCUCUUAGAGGAAAUGAUCUGGAAAAUAGGAGGUAAUGAUCAGACACUUUAAAUUGAGAUAAUACACACUCUGUAUCUUUCCUAUCUCUUGACAGUCACAGUAGCGCACUGUGUAUACAAUCAACUUAAAACAUUGUUGUGUACAUGUGUGUGGGUGUGUGUGUACAUAAAAAUUUAAUUAAAGGCAAAGUGUUAUAGCUGGGCAAAUGUGGUAGAGAGCAAGAACAGCCCAAAUGUAAUGGCAUAUGAUUGCCAAAUUGAACUAAUUUAGCAGAAGCAGGAUUUAUGAACCAUACAUGAUUAUAAGGACAUAUGCCUUUUGGGAAUUUUUAGAAAGCCUGUGGAGGGCAAUGCAUUUUUCAAUAUCGUUGCAAUAAAAGUUUGAGGACUUUUUUUUUUAAUUUCAAAGAUCAAUUUAGGUGAUACCUAGGGUAUAUUGAAGAUCCAACUGAUCCAUCAAAGUGAGUUAUAGUCCUUUUUAGCAAUAAAGCCCAGAUGACAAAAUGCAGAUAUAAUUAAAAUAGUGCUUUAUACAUAGUAAUUACAUUAUCUGUUUUCUUAAAAAAACUCAUUGAGAAGGUAGCUUAGCUUCACCUACUAUCCUGCUUAUGUCUUCACUAACCCAAAACAUAAAAUCAGUGCUGAAUAAUACCAAGGGAAGUUGUCAUCAUGAAUAGUUUGGCCAGAUUUUAUUAAAUAUAUUUUCAAAAUUUCAUAAUUCACUAAGAUAUUUUCAUGAUGUUUUUACAUUAAUGUUCUUUGUUAUAACAUUAUUGUUCUUUGUUGUUUGUGUAACGUAGGAAGAUACCUUUCCCAGCUUACUUGACAUGUCAUUAAAAUACCAUCCAUGCAUGGACUCCUAUUUCUAUUCUGUGGUUCCAUUUAUCUCUUCCUGUACCUUACGAUACUGUCUUAAUUAGAAUAGGUUUAUAAAGGUCUUGGCAUAUUAUAGGGCAAGUCUAACUCCCUAUUCUUUAUUUUAAAAGAGUAAUAUUUUGCCAAGAAAAACUGAAAUGCCUAUCAAAGAUUACACAUACAAAAUUUUUAAGAAAGAUGCUAUGUACAAUAGCAAAAAACAAAUAACCUAAUUGAACAAAAAUGGAUGAAGAAUAGGCUGGAAAAUUCAGUCAUACAGCGGUCAGAAUGAAUGAAUGAGAGACAGUGCAAACAGGAUGGUUAACUUUAUGUGUCAUCUUGGCUUAGCCAUGUUGGCCAGUUAUUUUGUCAAACACGAUGAUAGAUGUUAUUGUGAAGGUGUUUUGUAUCUACGGUUAGUGUUCAAAAUCAACUUAUUUUAAGUGAAGCAUAUUAACCCCCACAAGGUGAAUGAGCCUUGUUCAAUCAGUUAAAGCCCUUAAAAGCAAAUACUGGAAUUUUCCAGAGAAGGAAUUAUAUCUUAAAGCUAUAACAUAGAAGUUCUGCCUGAGUUCCCAGCCUGCUGGCUGCCCUAUGAAUUUGACUCAGUACUGCAGAUUUGAGCACUAUCUCAAUUUCUGGCCAGCUGACUUGCCUUACAGAUUUCAGACUUGUCUGCCCCCAUAAUCACAGGAGCCAGUUCCUUAAAAUAAAUCUCUCCCUCUUUAUAUAGACAUCCUAUUGGUUUUGUGUCUCUGGAGAACACUACAAAAAUAUAAAAAUCUUGCAAUAUAUGUUAAUAAAAAGGGGAAAAAGGACAGAAUUUAAUGAGUACAAAAGAAUAAAUGCAAAUGAUUAAUAAACUUUAAAAAAUAUGCCCCAUUAAUGGCUAAAAAAUAAUUAUUUCCAUACAUUUGAAGGAUAAAACAAAAUAAAACAUGACCAAUGUCAUCUACUAGUGUUAGGAAAUCAGGAUAAUAGGGAGAAGAAAUAUUUCCUUAAAUUUCUAGGGAUACUGUGAAUUAUUAUAAUUUUAUUGGGAAUAAUUUUGAAAUGAUCUAUUAACAUUAGAAACUGACUUAUCCUUUGAACCAUUGAUUCCAAUCCUGAAAAUAUAUGGAAAAAAAAAGACAAUGAUUGAAUAAAGUAAGUUUACUCCGUCUACUCUGUUAUUUUAUGCCACUGUUAAAGACACCUGCAAAGUGGUGACUAGAGUGGUGAAACAAGUGAUAGAUUAUACAUGUUUUUUUUUAAUACAAGUGUAUAUUUUAGAUAAGUAGCAGUAAUGAAAUAAUUUGAAGAGUUCCCAUUGUGGCUCAGCAGAAACGAAACUGACUAGUAUCUAUGAGGAUGCAAGUUCCAUCCCUGGCCUUGCUCAGUGCAUUAAGGAUCUGGCAUUGCCAUGAGCUGUGGUGUAGGUCACAGAUGCAGCUCAGAUCUAGAGUUGCUAUGGCUGUGGCACAGGCCAGAGGCUACAGCUCCAAUUAGACUUCUAGCCUGGGAACCUCCAUACGCCAUGG